RNAcentral lists this unclassified non-coding RNA (22 nucleotides) under Mus musculus (house mouse). RNAcentral describes it as "oocyte_clustered_small_RNA13658". The record is from RNAcentral. Lineage: Eukaryota; Metazoa; Chordata; Mammalia; Rodentia; Muridae.
UGCACCUCGGCGUACAAGCUGU